Molecule: ribosomal RNA, 471 nt
Filed under: Streptococcus mutans
Lineage: Bacteria; Bacillati; Bacillota; Bacilli; Lactobacillales; Streptococcaceae
Description: bacterial SSU rRNA
Rfam family: Bacterial small subunit ribosomal RNA
Source: RNAcentral
GACGAACGCGGCGGCGUGCCUAAUACAUGCAAGUGGGACGCAAGGAAACACACUGUGCUUGCACACCGUGUUUUCUUGAGUCGCGAACGGGUGAGUAACGCGUAGGUAACCUGCCUAUUAGCGGGGGAUAACUAUUGGAAGCGAUAGCUAAUACCGCAUAAUAUUAAUUAUUGCAUGAUAAUUGAUUGAAAGAUGCAAGCGCAUCACUAGUAGAUGGACCUGCGUUGUAUUAGCUAGUUGGUAAGGUAAGAGCUUACCAAGGCGACGAUACAUAGCCGACCUGAGAGGGUGAUCGGCCACACUGGGACUGAGACACGGCCCAGACUCCUACGGGAGGCAGCAGUAGGGAAUCUUCGGCAAUGGACGAAAGUCUGACCGAGCAACGCCGCGUGAGUGAAGAAGGUUUUCGGAUCGUAAAGCUCUGUUGUAAGUCAAGAACGUGUGUGAGAGUGGAAAGUUCACACAGUGACG